CACGUAGGCGGCCUGGUAAGUCAGAUGUGAAAGCCCGGGGCUUAACCCCGGAAGUGCAUUUGAUACUGUCAGGCUUGAGUAUGGGAGAGGGAAGUGGAAUUCCUGGUGUAGAGGUGAAAUUCGUAGAUAUCAGGAGGAACACCGGUGGCGAAGGCGGCUUCCUGGACCAAUACUGACGCUGAGGUGCGAAGGCGUGGGGUAGCAAACA
This 208-nucleotide ribosomal RNA is filed under the name uncultured bacterium. Its description in RNAcentral is "partial 16S ribosomal RNA". It matches the Rfam family "Bacterial small subunit ribosomal RNA", at positions 568 to 774 of the family's 1533-position model. The record is from RNAcentral.